Molecule: ribosomal RNA, 771 nt
Filed under: uncultured bacterium
Lineage: Bacteria
Description: bacterial SSU rRNA
Rfam family: Bacterial small subunit ribosomal RNA
Source: RNAcentral
AGAGUUUGAUCAUGGCUCAGAAUCAACGCUGGCGGCGCGCUUAACACAUGCAAGUCGAACGAGAAAGUGGAGCAAUCCAUGAGUAAAGUGGCGUACGGGUGAGUAACACGUGGGUAAUCUGCCUUUUAGUGAGGAAUAACGAUGGGAAACCGUCGCUAAUACCGCAUAAGCCCCCUGACCGAAGGGAAGGGCGGGGAAAGUCGCAAGACGCUGAAAGAGGAGCCCGCGGCCGAUUAGCUAGUUGGCAGGGUAAGAGCCUACCAAGGCAGAGAUCGGUAGCCGGCCUGAGAGGGCACACGGCCACACUGGCACUGAAACACGGGCCAGACUCCUACGGGAGGCAGCAGUGGGGAAUCUUGCACAAUGGGGGCAACCCUGAUGCAGCGACGCCGCGUGAGCGAUGAAGCCCUUCGGGGUGUAAAGCUCUUUCGGCAGGGAAGAUGAUGACGGUACCUGCAGAAGCAGCUGCGGCUAACUACGUGCCAGCAGCCGCGGUAAUACGUAGGCAGCGAGCGUUGUUCGGAGUUACUGGGCGUAAAGGGUGUGUAGGCGGUUCUUUAAGUUUGGUGUGAAAUCUCCCGGCUUAACCGGGAGGGUGCGCCGAAUACUGAGGGACUAGAGUACGGGAGAGGAAAGUGGAAUUCCUGGUGUAGCGGUGAAAUGCGUAGAUAUCAGGAGGAACACCGGUGGUGUAGACGGCUUUCUGGACCGUAACUGACGCUGAGACACGAAAGCGUGGGUAGCAAACAGGAUUAGAUACCCUAGUAGUCC